RNAcentral lists this long non-coding RNA (1044 nucleotides) under Cervus hanglu yarkandensis (Yarkand deer). Its description in RNAcentral is "lncRNA (ENSCHYG00000011045.1)". Lineage: Eukaryota; Metazoa; Chordata; Mammalia; Artiodactyla; Cervidae. The record is from RNAcentral.
AGGUGGGGGCCGGCAUCGGGAGCGGGGACACGAAGCGGCAGAGGCUGGGGCAGGAGUUGGGGUGCAGGAGGGGUCUGGGGCCAGGGCUGGGCUGAGGCCCGGCCUGGAACUGGGAAGGCCUUGUUCAGGAGCUGGACAACGGGUGGAGGAAAUGGCAGGUGCAGCGGUGGGCAAAGGGCUGGGCAGGGGGCAGAGGAGACCAGGGACAGGGCGGCCUUGAGGCAGCUGGGGCCCUCCAUCUGUGCCUCUCCACUUAACACCUCCUUCCUGGGGGCCCUGUCAGCACCCCCCAGCCUGGCCUGUUUCCCCAGACUCCGGGCCCUCAGGCCAGAUCUGUCCCAACUCCACAUACCCUCGCACCGGCACACCUGGGGCCCGUCCAGGCUGGAGGCAGGUUGCUGGGCCCCCGGUCCAGCCCCUUGCAAACCCUGUCCCACCAGCCAGGUGGCCUCCAGCCCUGCCAAUCCCUUGGCCCAGCCCCUCCCCGCCCCUUCCCCCGCCCCCUCCUCCUCAGGUGAGGCAGCCAGGCCUAGCAGGCCCCUCUCGCUGCCGCUGCCUCUGCCUCCGGGGCCCGCUGCGCCGCUGCGGGGCCACCAUGCUCCUGCCCAGGCCUGGAGACUGACCCUAAACCGGCACCGUCUCUCAGCUCCGCCCCCACCUGCCGGACCCCAGGGUAAGGAGCAGGGUCCUCAGGUUCCUGUCCCCCGGACAUGGGUCCCCUCACCCCUACCCACCCUAAUGCCCACUUCCCAACAGAGGUGCUCUGAGAGGGGCCAGUCGGACUUCUCUCCAAGGACCUCAGAGUUCCAGCCCCCGCUUCUUCAGACUCCCAAGAUCGGGUCCCGGGUUCCUCCUCCCUCCAACCCAGGAGUCCAGGCCCCUGUGCCGCCCCUCCCUCAUAAGAAGCAGUCCUGGCCCCCAAACCUCUCUUUUCCCAGGACCCAGGAGCUGAGGCCUCCAGCUCUCCGCCCUCAGACCCGGGAAUUCAGACCCCUCAGUCCGCUCUCCACCCCGGCCCAGGCCCAGGGUCCCCCGGCGCUAUAA